RNAcentral lists this ribosomal RNA (497 nucleotides) under uncultured bacterium. RNAcentral's name for it is "partial 16S ribosomal RNA". It matches the Rfam family "Bacterial small subunit ribosomal RNA", at positions 28 to 507 of the family's 1533-position model. The record is from RNAcentral.
GAUGAACGCUGGCGGCGUGCCUAAUACAUGCAAGUCGAGCGAACGGACGAGAAUCUCGCUUCUCUGAUGUUAGCGGGGGACGGGUGAGUAACACGUGGAUAACCUAUCUAUAAGACUGGGAUAACUUCGGGAAACCCGAGCUAAUACCGGUCAAUAUUUUGAUCCGCUUGGUUCAAAAGUGAAAGACGGUCUUGCUGUCAUUGAUAGAUGGAUCCGCGCUGCAUUAGCUAGUUGGUAAGGUAACGGCUUACCAAGGCAACGAUUCAUCGACGACCUGAGAGGAUGAUUGGCCGACGUGGAACUGAGACUCGAUUCCGACUCAUCCCGGACGCGGCAGUCGGGAAGCUGACGCUAGGGGCGAAAGCCUGAUGGAGAAAGGCCGCGUCCGUGGCGAACGUCUUCGGGUCGUGAAUCUCUGUUCUUUGAGUGGAAAAUAUGUGUAAGUAACUGUGAUCCUAUUGACGGUACCUAAUCAGAAAGCCGCGGCUAACUCCGUG